GUUUUUGCUUCAUCACCAUGGCUGGAAGCUGUCGUACAAUGCUGAACAGCAGUUGCAAGGAUGGCUUAUCCCUCUCUAGGGGCAUCCCAUCUUUUGCCAUUAAGGAUGAUGCUUUCUAUCAAAACUAUAUUGAGGGUUGGAGAGAUUCAAGACUUGCCACUCAAGCCUGACAACCUGAGUCUGGAUCCCUGGAAGUCAUGUGAAAGCCAGAUGAUGUGGCACGUGUCUAUAAUCCCAGCAAACAGCAAGAGAAACACUGCUUCUGACAAGGUAGAAGUUGAGGACCAUCGCUCCAGGUUGUUCUCUGAAGACACACAGGCAUCAACAUUUCAAGUGUUCAUUCACCAAUGGCUCCUGGCUAUUAUGUGGCUACAAGUACAGACUAUCUUCAUUGUUAUGGAUAAUUCUUUUGUUGUCUCUGCUCUAAGGAAACCUCUAUGAAGUAUGCUGAGAAGAAAGUUUUGGAAGAAUUUGAAGGUUGUGUGUGUUGGGAUGGGUGUCUAAAGAGUGCCUUAUUAGUUACCAUUUGAGCCUUUUCUAUCCUACAGCUUCUUUCUGGCUGCUCUCUUUUUUCUUAAAGAGUUCAGCAAGAUGGGUCACAUGGAUCUUAUCCAGAGUGAAUAUGAAAUGUCUCCCACAGGCUCAAGGGUUACAUGUUUAGUGCCCAGCUUGGUGGGACUAUCUUGGGAUGUUCUGAGAACUUCAGGUAGUGAGAUCUAGUUGGAAGAAGUAGGUAACUGGAGA
This is a long non-coding RNA of Peromyscus leucopus (white-footed mouse), 744 nucleotides long. RefSeq lists it as uncharacterized. The record is from RefSeq and is a predicted model, not a curated record. The transcript has 3 exons. Lineage: Eukaryota; Metazoa; Chordata; Mammalia; Rodentia; Cricetidae.